CUGGGUUUGACAUGGAUCGGGAGYGCUCAGAGAUGGGUGUGCCUCUUUUGGGGUCGGUUCACAGGUGGUGCAUGGCUGUCGUCAGCUCGUGUCGUGAGAUGUUGGGUUAAGUCCCGCAACGAGCGCAACCCUUGUUCACUGUUGCCAGCACGUUAUGGUGGGGACUCAGUGGAGACCGCCGGGGUCAACUCGGAGGAAGGUGGGGAUGACGUCAAGUCAUCAUGCCCCUUAUGUCCAGGGCUUCACGCAUGCUACAAUGGCUGGUACAGAGAGUGGCGAGCCUGUGAGGGUGAGCGAAUCUCGGAAAGCCGGUCUCAGUUCGGAUUGGGGUCUGCAACUCGACCUCAUGAAGUCGGAGUCGCUAGUAAU
RNAcentral lists this ribosomal RNA (369 nucleotides) under uncultured Propionibacterium sp. RNAcentral describes it as "bacterial SSU rRNA". It matches the Rfam family "Bacterial small subunit ribosomal RNA", at positions 975 to 1342 of the family's 1533-position model. The record is from RNAcentral. Lineage: Bacteria; Bacillati; Actinomycetota; Actinomycetes; Propionibacteriales; Propionibacteriaceae.